AAAAUGUUUUAGGGUUUAGAUUUAAUUCGAUUAGAAGUAAAACAGAAGGCGAUUCUCGUACUAUCUUCUGAUUUCUUCCGUUUGAUCACAAAAGAAUCGUUGAUAUGACGAAAAUGAACUCAUCCAAAGAAAGAAAGAAAUCGAUUUCCAUUGAAAAAAGUCCCUUGACCAAUUCAUAUGAAAACGUAAGGAAACAACGAAUAAAAGACAAUCUGAAACGAUUUCAGGAAUUGGUGUUUCAAAAAUGGCUGGGGUUUUUCAAGAACAAGUCAGAACCAAGAAGUCUGUGGCCGACGUAGAAAGAUGAAAACAAGACUACUGGAAACCCUGCUGGUCCAUUUAGACGAUCUACACGUCUCCGGAACGAAGUCAUUUGUUAUCAGGAGCAGAAGCUAGUAAGACUAAAUGACUAAUUAUAUCUAGUAAAGAGUAAAAUGUUGGGUGAGGUUAUUAUUAUUGUCGAGUCUUUAGAAAUGACCAAUUCUUUGAUUGUUUGAGGUUGUUCCUCGGCUCAGGUAAAAUUUCUAAGUAGGAUGAGGUCUAUUUCAUAUGUCUGUAGGGGUUUCCGCUGCUCAAUGUUUAGAUGCUUCGACUAAACAAGUAACAAUGUAAUCAGAAGAGGAAUUGCUGCUACAGCAGAAAAAUCUUAUCCGCUAAGGCGUGCAGAGAUAUUUCGAAGCAGUUUGUCGUCUGAAAACCCAUCUUGCGUCAAACCACUGUAUCCCUCAAAUGUAUCCAACGACUUUUAUCUGGAAAGCUAGCAAGAUGUUUGAUACCGUAAUUCUUAAAUUUUUUUUGUCCACAUUCAAUGGAAAUGCUAACAAUUGGGUAAUUGUUUCUUCCCAUGUUAUGUUCUUAAGACUAUACCAAGUAAAUUCUGUAAUGAUCACUUCGCUAAGGAAACACGGCCAAUUGAGCUAGAAUAUCUACACCGCUCUAUUCCGAAAAAAAUUCACGGUUAUUGCAUGGAAAUCUUUUGUUAGGGAUCAUGAGUUGGAUGAUGGUGAUGCUAUAGUUUUGGAGCUUAUUCAGCCAAGAAGAUUAAAGGUACAUGUAUUUAGACUGGCUAAUGGCAGCAGUGAAGCAAAAGCCAAGGAGAUAAAGCAAUCUAGAGAAAAUGAACUUGUCACGAAAGUUAAAGAUUCUGAUGCAGAUGAAGAUAUGGUUGAGGUGGAUGCUGAACAAAUAUCCAAACCCAGAGAGAGAAGAACUCGACGAAAUCUGUAGAUUGUGAUGCAGAAUGAACAACCAGGUUGCUGCCCUCAAGACAACUAACAUUUUAGUAUCAGAAGUCGGAUCAAUAAAUUUUGUAGUCCGCCUUUUGUGGGAAAAAUCUGGCGAGAUAUAAACUUAGUUUUGACUAGCAGUACAAGCUUAUUCCUGCUGGAAAGAUAUGUACCACUACAAGAAAAGUUGGAUUAAGCGACCAGGCAUUUUUGGUUGGAAAAGCCCAUAUUGAGUCGCUCUAUCCCUUAAAGCGACUUAAUUUGGCUCUCGCUCUGGAGUUGCAAAAGGUGGGAUUUCAACAAGUCUAGAGCAGCUAGGCAAUCGCUUUAGUAAUCAAGCAACUAUCAUGUAGCGUCUUUUUUCUUAAU
Papaver somniferum (opium poppy) is the source of this 1595-nucleotide long non-coding RNA. RefSeq lists it as uncharacterized. The record is from RefSeq and is a predicted model, not a curated record. The transcript is spliced from 5 exons. Lineage: Eukaryota; Viridiplantae; Streptophyta; Magnoliopsida; Ranunculales; Papaveraceae.